This is a long non-coding RNA of Anser cygnoides (Swan goose), 443 nucleotides long. The record is from Ensembl. NCBI's taxonomy places the organism in Eukaryota, Metazoa, Chordata, Aves, Anseriformes, Anatidae.
ACUUUUGUUGUAUUAAUCUUCCUUUAGUCCUGGACUAACUUUUACUGGCUGAACCCAAGGCAGGCUGCUGGCAGGCUUUCCAGCUCUUGGGGAAAUAAAAAGAGGGCAAAGGGAUGAAGACAUGCUCAAAGCCUUUUCUGAGUUCCUGGAGGUGGUUGGUUGUGUGUGUGGCAGCUGGUCUCUGGGAGAAUAACAGCAAGGCUGAAAGCACACAAACAGUGCUUGACUGGGGCUGGGCAAGAAUGUUCUUCAGCCUUUGCUGCUGCUGUUGUUAUCAACCGACACCCACAUCCUGGCAUCUCUGAAUGCAGACAGUCCAGUGAGGAAAAGGAUAGGACUGAAAUCCCAAGGUGAAAAGUAACUACAAGCUCCUGGGCACCAGGAAGCUGUGAAUCACUCAAACGUGUGAUCUUGCAGCUUUAAUAAAAGCCUGACUUCCUCCA